GGGCGAGUGGCCUAGCCAGGACAUAGCGCCGGCCUCCUAAGCCGGAUACCGUGGGUUCGAAUCCCACCUCGCCCGC
Molecule: transfer RNA, 76 nt
Filed under: Methanocella sp. PtaU1.Bin125
Lineage: Archaea; Methanobacteriati; Methanobacteriota; Methanomicrobia; Methanocellales; Methanocellaceae
Description: tRNA-Arg
Rfam family: tRNA
About the family: Transfer RNA (tRNA) molecules are approximately 80 nucleotides in length. Their secondary structure includes four short double-helical elements and three loops (D, anti-codon, and T loops). Further hydrogen bonds mediate the characteristic L-shaped molecular structure. tRNAs have two regions of fundamental functional importance: the anti-codon, which is responsible for specific mRNA codon recognition, and the 3' end, to which the tRNAs corresponding amino acid is attached (by aminoacyl-tRNA synthetases). tRNAs cope with the degeneracy of the genetic code in two manners: having more than one tRNA (with a specific anti-codon) for a particular amino acid; and 'wobble' base-pairing, i.e. permitting non-standard base-pairing at the 3rd anti-codon position.
Source: RNAcentral